UGUUGGGGCAUUUAUCUGGACUCCACUGAGCGCAUAUUAUUACCCGUCUCAAUUUUGCAAAUCAAAGCACUUUUCUAGUUUCCAUUAUUGUUAUAUAAAAACAAGAGCUAAAAUGUAAAAGAUCAAACGAAGUUAAAAAUACACUUUUAUUUUAAGAUAAACAAUUUAAAUUUGCUUAAAUUAAGUGCUGCUUUACAUUUAAAACACAUUGGAGUUUUAGAAUUUGUUAAUAUAUUUGAAAAUCAAUUUUCAAAAAGGGUUCAAAAGUGGAAAACACUUUUUCGAAAGGGCAUAAAAAGAGGCUCGCUGUCAUGGUUUGCGCUUUAAACACACAUGCAAAAAACAAUGGUUCUAUCGGAAAAAUAAAAUAAAAUAAAAUAAAAUAAAAUGGAAUGGAAUGGAAUGAAAUGCUAGGCAAACAGCGACGGACAAAGUGAUUAUAUAAAAAACAUUACCAGUGAAAGCCGCCAGUAAAAAACAAAAAAAAAAAACUCUCGGAAGGAACGAGACAAGAAAAACGGAAAAUAAUGCCAAAGAACGAUUUCGAUUUAUCAGCAAAAACGAAAUGGGAGGCGAAAAAAAAAAUACGCGUUUUUAUCUCGCUGCUCAAUUGAUUUACAUAAUCAACGAAAUCGCUUUUUACCACCCAGCCACCCCUUUCAACACCCCCCCAACACCCCUGCCCAUCCACAUGGCAGUUGCCUUGUUCUCUGUGCAUUUAAUUAAAUGCUGAUUAAGUUUUAUUCAAUGGAGCACAAACACUAGCACAGUUAUCUAUAAUAUAGUACAAUGGAGCCGGAAUACGUAUACGACCCGUGUGCGCUGUUUGUGCAUAGAUUCGUUGAUUAGUCAUUGAUAUUGGGACAACGUGUUCAACUCGACUCGAAUCAAAUCGAAUCGAAUCGAACUGAAUCGACUUGAACCGAAUGGAAUGAAAUGGAAUCGAGCGGCGCUUUGCGUGUGAACCGAACUUUGUCAAUGAACUAGAGUGAAACUUUCGUUGGACUUGAUAUAAUAUAUAUCAUUCCUAACCUGUAAACUCUAGAUAAAGAUGGUCGGUGGACCACAGCUGGGGUAAUAAAUCAGUGGAAAAUUGCUGCUGAAGAGGAAAACUUGCCCGGCCGAACGAACAGAAGGUGGGAAAACUGUUGAAUUAUUUCCCAGGACACCGGCACACGCACACGCACAUGGAAUUAAAACAGAAGCAUAUCGAAUGAACGAGUCUUCGAAUCCUUGUAUCCUCGCACUCAUGUGCACGGGGAUCAGCCGAAGAGGAAACCUCAAGGAACCCAUAAAUUCUGCUGAGAAAAUCUCCCAAGGAAAACAAAAAUAGAAAAUGUGUCAAUGCAAACAACGGCAAGCCCAGUUCCCAGUUGUUGUUGUUGCUUCCAUUUCUGGCCAUGGAUCGUGGACCAAGUGAAUCUGGGCCAUAAAAGUGCAAAAUGUUUUCCACUCGGCUGGACCCUGAUUCUACCUCUCUACCUUCACAUCGCAUGCGAUGCACUCGUUAGGAACUACACUGGAAAAAAUAGUAGAGUAAAUUAUUUAGUUUAUGAGUAUUUAAGAAGCCAAAGAAAAUUACUUUAUAAGCUUAUAUUGUAUAAUUAUAUAUAUUAUUAUAAAUAUAUCAUAAAUUAUAUCUUUACUUCUAGAACUACACUGGAAAAAAAGUAGAGUACAUUAUUU
Long non-coding RNA from Drosophila simulans, 1686 nucleotides. RefSeq lists it as uncharacterized. The transcript has 4 exons. The record is from RefSeq and is a predicted model, not a curated record. Lineage: Eukaryota; Metazoa; Arthropoda; Insecta; Diptera; Drosophilidae.